Molecule: long non-coding RNA, 364 nt
Organism: Neogale vison (American mink)
Lineage: Eukaryota; Metazoa; Chordata; Mammalia; Carnivora; Mustelidae
Exons: 3
Source: RefSeq, a predicted model, not a curated record
UGCUACCUUCGCGGCUGCAACCUUCUCAGCCCCGGCCUCCGGCACUACCCAAGCAUCCGGCUGGAAGCGCAAGUGGCGCCCGAACAGGGACGAGACCAGACCAGACCCGAUCUGAUCAGAAAUAAAACAGCAGAAGAAGCCCCAACGUGAGUUUUGCACAGCCACACCUUUUUCCCGCUGUCCUCAGAAGCACGCAAAAAUCCCUCCCAACGACUGAAGAAUCAAGAAGCUGCAAAAUCAACUUUUCUACUUCUUCACAAACAAAAGGGGGGAGAUGCUGCUGCCCCUCAGAACAAUUUGUUACUUAAACUGUAAUCCCUGGAGGAUUUUACUAGUUGCCAAGCACAUUUAGAUAGGGCCUUAA